Molecule: ribosomal RNA, 466 nt
Filed under: uncultured bacterium
Lineage: Bacteria
Description: bacterial SSU rRNA
Rfam family: Bacterial small subunit ribosomal RNA
Source: RNAcentral
UCCAGACUCCUACGGGAGGCAGCAGUGAGGAAUAUUGGUCAAUGGGCUUACGCCUGAACCAGCCAAGUCGCGUGAGGGAAGACUGCCCUAUGGGUUGUAAACCUCUUUUGUCAGGGAGCAAUUGGCGCUACGUGUAGCGUUAUCGAGAGUACCUGAAGAAAAAGCAUCGGCUAACUCCGUGCCAGCAGCCGCGGUAAUACGGAGGAUGCGAGCGUUAUCCGGAUUUAUUGGGUUUAAAGGGUGCGCCGGCGGUUCAAUAAGUCUGAGGGGAAAGCCUGGGGCUCAACCGGCGACCCGCCGUUGAAACUGGCAGUCUCGAGUUGGAGAGAAGUAUGCGGAAUGCGCGGUGUAGCGGUGAAAUGCAUAGAUAUCGCGCAGAACUCCGAUUGCGAAGGCAGCAUGCCGGCUCCACACUGACGCUGAGGCACGAAGGCGUGGGUAUCGAACAGGAUUAGAUACCCUAGUA